Molecule: long non-coding RNA, 422 nt
Filed under: Pan troglodytes (chimpanzee)
Lineage: Eukaryota; Metazoa; Chordata; Mammalia; Primates; Hominidae
Description: long non-coding RNA NONPTRT001705
Source: RNAcentral
GAGAAGAGAGAGAUACAAGAGAUGUUAAUGUAAUUUACUUAGGAAAUACAGGAGAGAGGUUUGGAUGAAAACGUAAUUAAAAUUUUAACUUGUAGUUUUCUCUAUAUAGAUUUCUAAUAGGCAAUUGGAGAAAUGGGUUUGGAGCUCAAGAAAAGUCUGUGUUGCUGCAGCAUACAAUUGGGUUUUAAAGCCACGAGAGGAAAACUGAUAUUCAGGUGGACUGCAAAAAGGGAGGAAGAAAAAAGACACAAAAAGAGGCCUGGAAGGCAAUGCUCCCACAAACCGGUGAGAACAAUGCAAAAUUUGGGACCGUGAUUUUGGAUCACCUUGACACUGAAAGCCACAGAGAGACAUAAGUUAUCUUCCUUGUCUUCUGUAUCAAAGACAAGACAUAAUUCAGAAUUUAUCAUUCUCGACUGUCA